RNAcentral lists this ribosomal RNA (425 nucleotides) under uncultured bacterium. Its description in RNAcentral is "bacterial SSU rRNA". It matches the Rfam family "Bacterial small subunit ribosomal RNA", at positions 506 to 930 of the family's 1533-position model. The record is from RNAcentral.
GGCCAGCAGCCGCGGUAAUACGUAGGGAGCAAGCGUUAUCCGGAUUUAUUGGGUGUAAAGGGUGCGUAGGCGGGAAGGCAAGUUGAAUGUGAAAUACCGGGGCUCAACUCCGGGGCUGCGUUCAAAACUGCUUUUCUUGAGUACAGCAGAGGCAAGCGGAAUUCCCAGUGUAGCGGUAAUAUGCGUAGAUAUUGGGAGGAACACCGGUGGCGAAGGCGGCUUGCUGGGCUGCAACUGACGCUGAAGCACGAAAGUGUGGGGAGCAAACAGGAUUAGAUACCCUGGUAGUCCACACUGUAAACGAUGAUUACUAGGUGUGGGGAGAUUGACCCUCUCCGUGCCGCAGUUAACACAAUAAGUAAUCCACCUGAGUAGUACGGCCGCAAGGUUGAAACUCAAAGGAAUUGACGGGGGCCCGCACAAGC